GUCGGGAAUUUUGGGCAAUGGGCGAAAGCCUGACCCAGCAACGCCGCGUGAGGGAUGAAGGCCCUCGGGUCGUAAACCUCUGUCAGGAGGGAAGAACUCGUUCUCGAAUAACACGCGAGAACGUUGACGGUACCUCCAAAGGAAGCGCCGGCUAACUCCGUGCCAGCAGCCGCGGUAAUACGGAGGGCGCAAGCGUUGCUCGGAAUUACUGGGCGUAAAGCGCGUGCAGGCGGUCGAGUAAGUCGGUUGUGAAAUCCCCAGGCUCAACCUGGGAACUGCAUCCGAAACUGCUCGGCUAGAGUCCCGGAGAGGGAGGCGGAACUCCCAGUGUAGGGGUGAAAUCCGUAGAUAUUGGGAAGAACACCGGCGGCGAAAGCGGCCUCCUGGACGGUGACUGACGCUGAUACGCGAAAGCGUGGGGAGCAAACAGGAUUAGAAACCCCGGUAGUCC
Molecule: ribosomal RNA, 451 nt
Filed under: uncultured bacterium
Lineage: Bacteria
Description: bacterial SSU rRNA
Rfam family: Bacterial small subunit ribosomal RNA
Source: RNAcentral